RNAcentral lists this ribosomal RNA (395 nucleotides) under uncultured bacterium. RNAcentral's name for it is "bacterial SSU rRNA". It matches the Rfam family "Bacterial small subunit ribosomal RNA", at positions 505 to 898 of the family's 1533-position model. The record is from RNAcentral.
GUGCCAGCCGCCGCGGUAAUACAGAGAGUGCAAGCGUUAAUCGGAAUUACUGGGCGUAAAGCGCGCGUAGGUGGAUGCUUAAGUCAAAUGUGAAAUACCUGGGCUUAACCUGGGAAUUGCAUCUGAUACUGGGUAUCUUGAGUAUGGUAGAGGGAAGUGGAAUUUCCGGUGUAGCGGUGAAAUGCGUAGAUACCGGAAGGAACACCAGUGGCGAAGGCGACUUCCUGGACCAAUACUGACACUGAGGCGCGAAAGCGUGGGGAGCAAACAGGAUUAGAGACCCUGGUAGUCCACGCUGUCAACGAUGAGAACUGGCUGUUGGAAGGGUAAUACCUUUUAGUAGCGAAGCUAACGCGUUAAGUUCUCCGCCUGGGGAGUACGGCCGCAAGGUUAAA